This 23-nucleotide small nuclear RNA is filed under the name Arabidopsis thaliana (thale cress). RNAcentral describes it as "snRNA_15467". The record is from RNAcentral. Lineage: Eukaryota; Viridiplantae; Streptophyta; Magnoliopsida; Brassicales; Brassicaceae.
UACUCCGUGAAUCGGAGGCGGGG